This 407-nucleotide ribosomal RNA is filed under the name uncultured bacterium. RNAcentral's name for it is "partial 16S ribosomal RNA". It matches the Rfam family "Bacterial small subunit ribosomal RNA", at positions 28 to 526 of the family's 1533-position model. The record is from RNAcentral.
GACGAACGCUGGCGGCGUGCCUAAUACAUGCAAGUAGAACGCAGUUGCGAACGGGUGAGUAACGCGUAGGUAACUGCCUGGUAGCGGGGGAUAACUAUUGGAAACGAUCGCUAAUACCGCAUACCACCAGAUGGUCGUGCGUGGUAUUAGCUAGUUGGUGGGGUAACGGCUCACCAAGGCAACGAUACAUAUCCGAACUGAGAGGGUGAUCGGCCACACUGGGACUUGGACCCGGCCCAGGCACCUACGGGAGGCAGCAGGAGGGAAUCUUCGGCAAUGGACUGAAGUCUGACCGAGCAACGCAGCGGUAAUGAAUAAGGUUUUCGGAUCGUAAAGCUCUGUUGUAAAAGGAGCGGUAUCUAACCAGAAAGGGACGGCUAACUACGUGCCAGCCGCCGCGGUAAUAC